GGGCUCCACCCAGUUAGAGCUUCCAGGCUGCUUUGUUUACCUAAUCAAGCCUGGGCAAUGGCGGGCGCCCCUCCCCCAGCCUCGCUGCUGCCUUGCAGUUUGAUCUCAGACUGCUGUGCUAGCAAUCAGCGAGAUUCCGUGGGCGUAGGACCCUCCGAGCCAGGUGCAGGAUAAAAUCUCGUGGUGCGCCGUUUUUUAAGCCGGUUGGAAAAGCGCAGUAUUUGGGUGGGAGUGCCCGAUUUUCCAGACAACUUUGCACCAUGCGGACAGGUCAAAUGAGACCAGAAGUAUUAUGAACCAAUGCUAAUCAGGACUGUUUCCUGCACUCUGAGACCAAAGGGGCCAUUCUCACAAAGAAAGAGCUCCUGCCAUGUUACAUGCCUGCUCUCCAUCUGCCUUCCAACAUGAUUGGAAGCUUUCCGAUGCCCUCACCAGAAGCAAAUGCUGGUGCCGUGCUUUCUGUACUGCCUGCAGAACUCAGGCUUUCGGCAUUUGGCAUCCACAGGAAACUCCAGCUUGACUUAAGGAGUGAGAGAAAGCAGAGGGCAUCACCUGGAAUCCUGCCACUGAUGAACACUCUUUGCUGUUUACUUGCCAAUAAUUGAGAAGUAGAUCCUGAGCCAAGUGCAAAGAGUUUCUUUGGAACAAGAAAACAUGACAAGGAAGUGGAGAAAUGAGAGCGGCAAGGUGGACAAAGGGGAUUUUGGAGACCAAAAAAGUCCUCAGGCAAACAGAUGCAGGUGCUAGCAGUUGGAAGUCAGGCCCAAGAGCUCUGAUGCGUGUGAUAAUAUGGGAAUUAAUAAGCCUGCUAUAUUUGAAAACCUCCCUGAUAUGCCAGGGUCAAUCUGGAUCCUCCGUCAAGCAGACACCAAGAUAGGAGUUGACACUGAAGAAAGAGCAUGUAAAGGAUAAAGGUAGGUGGGGGGGCAGGAAGAGUUUUCAGACUGUGAUGCAGGGUUGACAUCUCGGAAGGAGAGGGAAGGAACAGUGGGUAGGAAGAAUGGUGCACUACUGAGAAAGUCUUUGUCAAGCUAAUGAGGAAUCCUGGCACAGAGAUUACCUAUUAGGCGAGCCCCACACAGGAUAGAAAGGGCUGAACUUUACUAUUGGCAUCACGUUUGGUCAUCGGCUGACAUGGACAGUGUGGCAGAUUUGAAGAUUUGGCAGCUGAAGACUGUCAUCAGCAACACUUUUCCCACCAGGUUCUCUUGACAUGAGAUCCAAACAGUGCACCUCUAUUGCUACUAAAUGUCAGUUCUUGAAUAUUCCAGAGUUCCUUUUCUUUGAGGGCAAGGGUUGGAUUGUAUUUUACCACCUCUUUAAAAUUAGGAUGGCCAUAUGACUUAUUUUGGUCAUUAAGUUGUAAGUGGAAGUUUGAAAAAACAGUAUAUGCUUUGCCGGAUUAUCUUUUUCUCUUCAAAGAAAAUACCUUUUGAGCAGAACUUCCAUCAAUCUGGGCCCCAAUAAUGAGCAGGCUCUUACCAACUCAGGUGGGACAUGUAGACUGAGCAAGAAAUAGCAUUAUUGUAAUAAGCCAUUGAGAUAUUAUGUUUUUUAUUGAGGCAUAACCUAGAUUACUCUGACUGAAACCAUAGCUUUGGAGAUUGUGCUGGAGUAUUUUAGUUUCUACAUACACUGAGAAAUAGGCAGUGACCAUUGGGGAACAGGAGGCAGUGAACACUGGGGAAGAGGAGGCAGUGAACAUACCACUGGAAUCCAGCUUGGUUGGAUAUAAGAGCACAACAAUUUGAAAGCGUUAGUCAAAGAAAUGAACUGCUUGAUUUUCCUUCUGAGCUUCUAAAGUCAUUUAUAUUUAGAAGGAAAAGCUCACCAGUCAUAGGUUGUAACAAAUUAUUAAUACAUAAAUGUGUUCUGAGCUAACAGGACCAUAAACUGUCAUAGUUGGUCAACAAUAUUUAUUGUGGAUAAACAACUUGUAUUAGAUAUGUUAGAACAUAAAAAAGAGAACAAUGAUUAUUAUCAUCCCUUUUAUUGUAUGCCACAUAUUAUGAGAUUCAAAGGCUUUCAUAAAUAUUUUCUUCUACUCAGUGGAGUAAGUAGGGAAAGUAUUAUUAUCCCAGUUUUACAGUUAAGGAAAUGGAAACCCACAAACUUUAAAUGACAAAGGGGAUAAGUGGUUGAAACAAAACUAGAACUCAAUACAUCUGAGUAGAUGCCUGUAAAUUAAAAUAUUGCCUUCUUGCGAAGGCUAAAAUUCUUGUUGCCAGAAAAAGUUUAAGAAUAUUUUCAGUGCCUACAGUCAAAUACAUAUGCAUCAAUAAGGCAUUUGCAGCUAUUUUGUGUCAUGGUAUUGGAUGAAUGCUAUAAUUAGAAAACAGACGUGAAGCCGACCUAAAACCAUCAAACUAAUAUAGAGAGCCCUGAAGCUUUUUCCAGUUCCAGUCAGUCUGAAAAGACAACAUCAAAUGCUAAUGAGAGUCAGUCUUAAAUAAAAUAAGAAUAAAAAUUGCUUUAUCUGUGGCUUAUAACUCUUAAGUGAAUUUAAUGUGUAUUUUCUCUCUUGUGUGUUACAUUUUCCCUAUAAGGAAUUAUAGAGUUGAACCCAGAUCUUGUACCCAUAAAUCUCAAAUGCUUAUGGAGACAUAAAGAAUAGGUAAAAAUGGAUUUUUAAUCACAUUAAGGAAUGCUGUUAUGAGGCAACUUCCUUUGAAACUCAAAAUACUAACAAAUUGAUAGGAAGAUUUUAAAACAUGGCUCCAUUUUAUUUGAUACUUGUUCCAUCUAAAGGUUGGACUUUUCCCCCUUUCUGAUUAACCUGGAUUCUGUGCUUGCUUUCAAUCUGGCCGUUUCUAGAUCAGGCCUUAAGAAACUGGCAGUUCCUACUUCCUGUCUCUUCAGACACUCUGGAAACCACCAUGCUGUGAGGAAGCCCAAGUAGUUCCUGGAGAGAUCUACACCAAUAACUGAAGCCCCAAGGCCCUAGCACUGGCUGAGCUCCCAGCUGAAAGCCAGCACCAAAUUUCCAUAACUUUGAGUGAACCAUCUUGGAAGUGUAUAUUCCAGUUCCAGGUUAAGUGUACUCAGAAAUAACCUGCCCCAUUGAUCCCUGUAAAAAUUGGAGAUCUGAAAGCAAAAUACAAUAUUGUUGACAUUUUAAGUCAGUAGGGUUUGGGGCAGUUUAUUGUAUCAGUGAACUUUGCCUAGGUUGGUUUUACCUAGAGGCCUUCUAUAGUACAUAAUAGAGUACCUUGGUCUGGUUAUAGGGAUUUUGUGCCUUCCUUUACAUUUUAAAGUGAAAGAAAAAUAUCUUUUCUGUGAACAUGAAUUUUUUAUUAUUAUUGUUAUACUUUUAAGUUCUAGGGUACAUGUGCACAAUGUGCAGGUUUGUUACAUUGGUAUACAUGUGCCAUGUUUGUUUGCUGCAUCCAUCAACUCGUCAUUUACAUUAGGUAUUUCUCCUAAUGCUAUCCCUCCCCCAGCUCCCCAGCCCCCAACAGGCCCGGGUGUGUGAUGUUCCCCUCCCUGUGUCCAUGUGUUGUCAUGAACAUCAAUAUUUUUAAUGAGGGCAUUAAGUUUACUCUAUUGUGUGGUUAUCCUGUAUUCUUGUAGCAUUGUCUCGUUUAGUCCGUAGAGAAAGAUCACAUCCCUGUAGUGUGUGAUCUACUAUAAAAUGAGUUGGGGUUUUUUGUGUCAAUAAAAUGAGUUGCAACAAAAUGAGUUGGGUUUUUUUGUGUCAAUAAGUGGGGACAGUGGGAAAAUUUCCUUAAGGAAAGCACAUGAGAUUUGGUGAUUUGGGGCAGA
RNAcentral lists this long non-coding RNA (3762 nucleotides) under Homo sapiens (human). RNAcentral's name for it is "HSALNT0051821". The record is from RNAcentral. Lineage: Eukaryota; Metazoa; Chordata; Mammalia; Primates; Hominidae.